This is an RNA transcript of Brienomyrus brachyistius, 1994 nucleotides long. RefSeq lists it as uncharacterized. The transcript is spliced from 5 exons. The record is from RefSeq and is a predicted model, not a curated record. NCBI's taxonomy places the organism in Eukaryota, Metazoa, Chordata, Actinopteri, Osteoglossiformes, Mormyridae.
ACACUGUAAACCCUAAUGCUGUAACUAAUUGAUUGAACUGAGUUGUAUUAACUUAAAUAAUUACAAUUAGUUUAUAUUAAUUAACCUUUAUGAGUAUUUAGAACUUUUUCUUAUUUAUGAGUUUGUAAAAAUUAAACCUUUCAAGUAAGAUGGAAAAUUUUGCUGGUUUAAUUUAAACAAAAUGUCUCUUUAAAGUUUUAUUAACUCAAAAUCUUUCAGCCUUGUGAUUUUGCGUAUGACGUCAUCCAGGUUCACGUCAACUGUCUUGCCCGCGCUUAUUCCUCGUUCGUUUUUUUCAAGAUGGCGGAUCGGCCUCGCUUCACACUACAAUUUCAAGUGAGAUAAUGGACUGGAAGUGCAAAUUGUGUAUAAACAUCUAUCGUUCCAGAGUCCACCUCCUCAGACACUACAGAGUAAAGCACAGCAUCUGCUCUAAAAUGCAGGCGAUUCUUCAUAUUUCUAACAUGGCUACGAAUGAAAUCAUUGAAGACCUCAGUGAUAUAUAUGUAUUAUCACAGCCAUUGAUCAGGAAAACGGUUAGUGAUGUUUUGCAGAAACAUGGCUACAAUGUCAGUGCGGUUACAAUGGAUGAACUGGUCAGUGCUGUCAUGGAUUGCAAUAUUCUGUUCAGUGUGACCUCUGAAGGUGCAGAGUUGUCUUCUUUCAAACGCAGAAAGACAUUCAUUGAGCACAACUAUCCAGUUGUAAUGCCAUUGCAAUAUGACUUGCAGCAGUAUAUUUCUGAUGUGGGUUUGUUUUAUAAAAUUCUCUUUUGUCCGAUUUAGCUGUUUGCAGAGUACCAACGUGUUACAAAUGAGAAUUUGCCCAACAAAUUCUAUGCACAACUGGACUACCUCCUACCUUGUUUGAUGACCAUUUUAAGGCAAAAAGCAUCCAAGACAGGCAAGACAGCAGAUACCCUGGCUAAUCUUUUGAAAGUUCAUGAUGAGCAGGAACUGCAUGAUGUAAAUUCACGACGGACUACCGUUAUCAGAGGUCUUCCAGUUUUGCUGCGUGACAAAGACAUAGGAUUUUUUAGGACCACCCUGAUUGAUAAUCCUGAAGUACUGACUGAGGAUGCUCCAGUGUCCCUGCUUACAGUUGUUCAUGAAAAUGCUGCUGCUCCAAUCCAUUACGAUCCAGUGAGGGUCUCAGUUGUCCUGGAGAAUGAAGUGGUCACCACCCAUAGCCAACUUCCAGAGGCCUUUCUUGUCUUGUUUGGAUUCAUGUAUGCUCUUCACUUAAAAUAUCCUAAAGGACUUGCCAAAACUUUUGAAUUUGUGCAAAAAGUUUUACUCGGCAUGGAUGACGGAAAACUGUCUCCUAGCGUGCAAACAUUAAAGAAUGAGUUGAUGUAGAGCUACUUUUUUUUUCUCGUUUAAUGAAGGCUGGCACUGGGGCAGUAACUUAAAAACAUGUCAGUACGUGUAGUUUAAACUAUACAGGAGUCACUUACCAGAAUGCACUAUUUUUAUUUCUUUUUAUGAAUGCCGCAAGACUAAGUUUUAUAUGACUUAAUGUAUGUUUUAAAAAUCAGGAUAUUUAAUUUUGUCAAACUAAAUCAUUUUUUUUUGAAGCUCAUGUUUAAACAAAGUUGGUCAUGUAAAAUUCUGUUAAAAAUAUUUUACAAAAUAAUUCUUCAAAAAUAUUUUUUUGUUACAAGUCAUACUGGGUUUUAUGCAUUACUUUUUCCUGAAUGUUUUUUUCCCCUGAGAAUUUUCACCCUUUUAAAGGGUUACUUUACAGGUGUCAUGUUGAUUUGUUAUAUCAAAUAGAACACCAUAGAAAGUAUUGUUAUUCUUUUUCAUUGUAUUAACAUUCUGGGCAUACUUUAUUCAUUUUAAAAUAGUGUUUAUUGUAAAUCUGUUACUGACAAACUGUUUUAAAGGUUUUGAGAAAUUUGUAUGUUUAUAGAAGGCAUGUUUACUGUAAUUAUUCAUGUUGGUAUUACCUGUUGGACAUUUUUUGUUUAAAAAUAAAUGUUAAAAAUGGUA